Long non-coding RNA from Galendromus occidentalis (western predatory mite), 513 nucleotides. RefSeq annotates it as 8.6 kDa transglutaminase substrate. The transcript has 4 exons. The record is from RefSeq and is a predicted model, not a curated record. Lineage: Eukaryota; Metazoa; Arthropoda; Arachnida; Mesostigmata; Phytoseiidae.
GAGUUUUUCUGAAUUGAUUUCGGAAGGCUAUGCAAAUUCGUAUGAAGCGAAAAAUUGAACGAAAGAGACGUGGAGAGAGACUUACUCUGAACCCUUCCGUAUAGUAGGAGAAUAAAAGACAGCGUCUCAAGAAGUGGACACUCGGAACUUCUUCCAAGGAACGAUCUCCUCUGUGAAUCUGAAAAUCAGGAUGAACGGGUGCGCUCUCACGCUAGCGCUGCUGGGCUGCUGUAUAGUCCUGGUGUCAUCCACGUCCCCCGCACAUUGUCCUGACCUGGAUUGCUCGUCAGCGAAGUGUGAACCGCUCAACUGCAGCUGCGGAAUGUACAGACCCACCUGCUCAUGCUGUGAUUCAUGCUACACGUGCUCGGGUGAAGCUUGUAGCUUGAUUCCUCCGACGGUUUGCCAGAAGGGAGCCUGUAAGCUCAGCUCGUCAACUGCUAAGGCCCUCUCGUCACCAGGACCUCACGGAAAGUGCCCUUGAAUAAAACGAGCUUGGAGUCUGUCCAUCUG